Molecule: ribosomal RNA, 186 nt
Filed under: uncultured bacterium
Lineage: Bacteria
Description: partial 16S ribosomal RNA
Rfam family: Bacterial small subunit ribosomal RNA
Source: RNAcentral
CCUACGGGGGGCAGCAGUGGGGAAUAUUGGACAAUGGGCGCAAGCCUGAUCCAGCAAUGCCGCGUGUGUGAAGAAGGUUUUCGGAUUGUAAAGCACUUUCAGCGGGGACGAUGAUGACGGUACCCGCAGAAGAAGCCCCGGCUAACUUCGUGCCAGCAGCCGCGGUAAUACGAAGGGGGCAAGCGU